UACCGCGUGUGUGAAGAAGGCCUUAGGGUUGUAAAGCACUUUCAAUUGGGAGGAAAACCUACCGGUCAAUACCCGGUAGCUUGACAUUACCUUUAGAAGAAGCACCGGCUAACUCCGUGCCAGCAGCCGCGGUAAUACGGAGGGUGCGAGCGUUAAUCGGAAUUACUGGGCGUAAAGCGUGCGUAGGCGGUUCGUUAAGUCAGAUGUGAAAGCCCUGGGCUCAACCUGGGAACUGCAUUUGAAACUGGCGGACUAGAGUUUAGUAGAGGGGAGUGGAAUUUCAGGUGUAGCGGUGAAAUGCGUAGAUAUCUGAAGGAACACCAGUGGCGAAGGCGACUCCCUGGACUAGAACUGACGCUGAGGUACGAAAGCGUGGGUAGCAAACAGGAUUAGAUACCCUGGUAGUCCACGCCGUAAACGAUGUCGACUAGCCGUUGGGCCUAUAUACAGGUUUAGUGGCGCAGCUAACGCAUUAAGUCGACCGCCUGGGGAGUACGGCCGCAAGGUUAAAACUCAAAUGAAUUGACGGGGGCCCGCACAAGCGGUGGAGCAUGUGGUUUAAUUCGAUGCAACGCGAAGAACCUUACCUACCCUUGACAUCCAGAGAAUCUGUUAGAG
RNAcentral lists this ribosomal RNA (618 nucleotides) under uncultured bacterium. RNAcentral describes it as "bacterial SSU rRNA". It matches the Rfam family "Bacterial small subunit ribosomal RNA", at positions 395 to 1005 of the family's 1533-position model. The record is from RNAcentral.